Molecule: unclassified non-coding RNA, 433 nt
Filed under: soil metagenome
Description: partial contains 5.8S ribosomal RNA, internal transcribed spacer 2, and large subunit ribosomal RNA
Rfam family: 5.8S ribosomal RNA (bases 1-120)
Source: RNAcentral
GAUGAAGAACGUAGCGAAAUGCGAUACGUAAUGUGAAUUGCAGAAUUCAGUGAAUCAUCGAAUCUUUGAACGCAUAUUGCGCUCUCUGGUAUUCCGGAGAGCAUGCUUGUUUGAGUAUCAGUAAACACCUCAACUUCCAUAUCUUUUUUUGAAAUGGGAGUUGGACUUGAGUGAUCCCAACGCUUUUCCUCACCGAAAAGUGGCGGGUUACUUGAAAUGCAGGUGCAGCUGGACUUUUCUCUGAGCUAUAAGCAUAUCUAUUUAGUCUGCCUAAAAAACAGAUUAUUACCUUUGCUGCAGCUAACAUAAAGGAGAUUAGUUCUUGUGCUGACUGAUGCAGGAUUCACAAAGACAGCUUCGGCCGACUUUGUAAACUCGAUCUCAAAUCAAGUAAGACUACCAGCUGAACUUAAGCAUAUCAAUAAGCGGAGGA